AUUGAACGCUGGCGGCAGGCCUAACACAUGCAAGUCGAGCGAGCGGCGGACGGGCGAGUAAUGUAUGGGGACUGCCCGAUAGAGGGGGAUAACUACAGGAAACGGUAGCUAAUACCGCAUACUAUCGGAUAACCCAUAUGGGAUUUGUUAGUAGGUGAGGUAAUGGCUCACCUAGGCGACGAUCCCUAGCUGGUCUGAGAGGAUGAUCAGCCGCAAUGGGACUGAGACACGGCCCAGACUCCUACGGAGGCAGCAGUGGGGAAUAUUCCACAAUGGGCGCAAGCCUGAUGCAGCCAUGCCGCGUGUAUGAAUAAGGCCCUCGGGUUGUAAAGUACUUUCGGUCGGGAGGCGUUACCGACAGAAGAAGCACCGGCUGACACCGUGCAAGCCGCCGCGGUAAUUC
This 403-nucleotide ribosomal RNA is filed under the name uncultured bacterium. RNAcentral's name for it is "partial 16S ribosomal RNA". It matches the Rfam family "Bacterial small subunit ribosomal RNA", at positions 30 to 526 of the family's 1533-position model. The record is from RNAcentral.